Molecule: long non-coding RNA, 1041 nt
Organism: Lathyrus oleraceus (garden pea)
Lineage: Eukaryota; Viridiplantae; Streptophyta; Magnoliopsida; Fabales; Fabaceae
Exons: 2
Source: RefSeq, a predicted model, not a curated record
UCCAUUGAUUCUGUAUUCCUACCUGCAUAAGAUUACUCCAUUAGAUUGACAGGCUUAACCUUCAUUUCUUUCUGCUGCAGGUUUGUCAAGUUUGGAAUUCUGCACAAAAUUGCAUUGGCCGCCGGUUGAUUUUAAUAACAGGUGCUUGGCUUGUAUCUUGAUGAGGCUGAAGCACAAUAGUCAGUUUAAGAAUUUAAUCGUCUUGAAAUGACUCCGGUGGGUCUUAGCAUGACGGUAACCGUACAUAUAUAAUCCUGUACUUCCAAACUCCUUUGCUUUGUCAAUGAGACCAGCUCUUCCAAAGAGAUGGUCCAUACAAGAAUAGUGCUUAAUCCUUGAAUUUAUUUGCGUAGACUUCUAUCAUUUGUCUAAAUAGCAAUUGCCCUUGUGUUACAAGACCGGAAUGAAUACAAGCUGUAGGUUUGAGGCCUGUUUAGAACCGCUACCAUUGUUACAUGAUCUGGCUUAAUAUUAUUAUUGAACUGAUGCACAAUUUGUUUUGUUUGCUUGGAAACCAAAUCCUGCAGGUUUGAGGCCUGUUUAGAACCGCUACCAUUGUUACAUGAUCUGGCUUAAUAUUAUUAUUGAACUGAUGUAGAAUUUGUUUUGUUUGCUUGGAAACCAAAUCCUGCAGGUUUGAGGUAUGUGAAAUGACCGGAUUGCAGAUUGGUUCAGGUUGGAGAGGCUAUUGGUUGAAUUGAAUAUGAAUUCUGUUAGAAACUCAGUUGGAAAAAACCGGUUAUCAAUUAUUGAAUAUUGGAUCAAUAUUGAAGGUUGAUUGUAAGGUCAUUAUGAGUGCUUUGGAGAUUAAAAAAAAUAUCUGUUAUAGUGAAGAAGUCAUUUUGCUUUUAUUCCUGUUGUGGAAUUUUUUUUAUAUAUCCUUUUAAUUCCAACCAAUUAUUGUAAUGUAUUAGUCAUUAGGAUGUAAUAAGUUGUAAUAGUAUUUAGCUUAUGUAAAAUGAUUCACACAAUGCCAAAUCUCAUGUAAUGCAAUGCAUAUGGACAUGUUUAUGGGAUCAUGCUUGGUUAUUAUUUUUUUGA